This is an unclassified non-coding RNA of Erinaceus europaeus (western European hedgehog), 274 nucleotides long. Its record names the gene 7SK. It matches the Rfam family "7SK RNA". From Rfam's summary of the family: 7SK was discovered as an abundant small nuclear RNA in the mid-70s but a possible function has only recently been suggested. Two independent studies have found that 7SK RNA binds the CDK9/cyclin T complex (known as elongation factor P-TEFb). NCBI's taxonomy places the organism in Eukaryota, Metazoa, Chordata, Mammalia, Eulipotyphla, Erinaceidae. The record is from Ensembl.
GGAAUAAGGGUGAUUUGGCUGAUCUGGCUGGCUAGGUAGGUGUUUCCUUCUUCCCACACUGUUCCAAGUGCCAUCUGCCAAAGCCAUGCUCUCAGUAGAAGAGGAUGACCUUCCCUGAAUAGAGAUUGGGCUCUGUCUUUGAGGAUAUAUGAGGUACCUGUUGCACUCCCCUGCUAGAACCUCCAAAUAAGAUCUCAGUCCCCACAAACAAGUUUAGUGUUUUUUGUUUGUUCGCUUGCAGCCAGGUUAUUGGUGGGGCAUGGUGCCUGGACAA